This 742-nucleotide ribosomal RNA is filed under the name Cortinarius sp. MHM172. RNAcentral's name for it is "eukaryotic LSU rRNA". The stretch from base 249 to 402 matches the Rfam family "5.8S ribosomal RNA". The record is from RNAcentral. Lineage: Eukaryota; Fungi; Basidiomycota; Agaricomycetes; Agaricales; Cortinariaceae.
AGGAUCAUUAUUGAACUAAACCUGAUGGGUUGUUGCUGGUUCUCCAGGGAGCAUGUGCACACCUGUCAUCUUUAUAUCUCCACCUGUGCACCUUUUGUAGAUCUGAAUAGCUUUCUGAAUGCCUAGCAUUUAGGUUUGAAGAUUGACUUUUCUGUCUUUCUUUACAUUUUCAGGUCUAUGUUUCUCCAUAUACCCCAAUGUAUGUUAUAGAAUGUAGUAAAUGGGCCUUUGUGCCUAUAAACUUAUACAACUUUCAGCAACGGAUCUCUUGGUUCUCGCAUCGAUGAAGAACGCAGCGAAAUGCGAUAAGUAAUGUGAAUUGCAGAAUUCAGUGAAUCAUCGAAUCUUUGAACGCACCUUGCGCUCCUUGGUAUUCCGAGGAGCAUGCCUGUUUGAGUGUCAUUAAUAUAUCAACCUCUUCAGCUUUGCUUGUCGAGUGUUGGAUGUGGGGGGGUAUUCUUUUUUUGCUGGUCUCUCCUUGAGGUCAGCUCCCCUAAAAUACAUUAGCGGGACAAUUUGUUGACCGUUCAUUGGUGUGAUAAAACUAUCUACGCUAUUGACGUGAAGCAGGUUCAGCUUCUAAUGGUCCAUUGACUUGGACAAAUAUUUCAUUAAUGUGACCUCAAAUCAGGUAGGACUACCCGCUGAACUUAAGCAUAUCAAUAAGCGGAGGAAAAGAAACUAACAAGGAUUCCCCUAGUAACUGCGAGUGAAGCGGGAAAAGCUCAAAUUUAAAAUCUGG